RNAcentral lists this ribosomal RNA (263 nucleotides) under uncultured bacterium. Its description in RNAcentral is "partial 16S ribosomal RNA". It matches the Rfam family "Bacterial small subunit ribosomal RNA", at positions 793 to 1055 of the family's 1533-position model. The record is from RNAcentral.
GUCCAUGCCGUAAACGUUGUAUACUAGGUGCGGGAGGUAUCGACCCCUUCCGUGCCGAAGCUAACGCAUUAAGUAUACCGCCUGGGGAGUACGCGCGCAAGCGUGAAACUCAAAGGAAUUGACGGGGGCCCGGCACAAGCGGUGGAGCAUGUGGUUUAAUUCGAGGCAACGCGAAGACCUUACCCAGACUUGACAUCCCAGGACGCCCAUGAAAGUGGGUUUUCCCUUCGGGGACCUGGAGACAGGUGUUGCAUGGCUGUCGU